Molecule: ribosomal RNA, 83 nt
Filed under: Actinobacillus minor 202
Lineage: Bacteria; Pseudomonadati; Pseudomonadota; Gammaproteobacteria; Pasteurellales; Pasteurellaceae
Source: RNAcentral
UACCUGACUCCAUUCCGAACUCAGAAGUAAAAUGUCGUAACGCCGAUGGUAGUGUGGGGCUUCCCCAUGUGAGAGUAGGGCAU